RNAcentral lists this ribosomal RNA (230 nucleotides) under uncultured bacterium. RNAcentral describes it as "partial 16S ribosomal RNA". It matches the Rfam family "Bacterial small subunit ribosomal RNA", at positions 562 to 791 of the family's 1533-position model. The record is from RNAcentral.
AAAGCGUGCGCAGGCGGUUCUAUAAGACGGAUGUGAAAUCCCCGGGCUCAACCUGGGAACUGCAUUUGUGACUGUAGAGCUGGAGUGCGGCAGAGGGGGAUGGAAUUCCGCGUGUAGCAGUGAAAUGCGUAGAUAUGCGGAGGAACACCGAUGGCGAAGGCAAUCCCCUGGGCCUGCACUGACGCUCAUGCACGAAAGCGUGGGGAGCAAACAGGAUUAGAUACCCCGGU